UACGAACCGUCCAAACGUUACUCGGAAUUACUGGGCUUAAAGGGUGCGUAGGCCGCGCGGAGGGUGGGAUGUGAAAUCCCCCGGCUCAACCGGGGAAUAGCGUCCCAAACCGCCGUGCUCGAGGGAGACAGAGGUGAGCGGAACUGAUGGUGGAGCGGUGAAAUGCGUUGAUAUCAUCAGGAACACCAGUGGCGAAAGCGGCUCACUGGGUCUUUCCUAACGCUGAGGCACGAAAGCUAGGGGAGCGAACGGG
RNAcentral lists this ribosomal RNA (253 nucleotides) under uncultured bacterium. RNAcentral's name for it is "partial 16S ribosomal RNA". It matches the Rfam family "Bacterial small subunit ribosomal RNA", at positions 524 to 776 of the family's 1533-position model. The record is from RNAcentral.